Molecule: ribosomal RNA, 491 nt
Filed under: uncultured bacterium
Lineage: Bacteria
Description: partial 16S ribosomal RNA
Rfam family: Bacterial small subunit ribosomal RNA
Source: RNAcentral
AGUGAACGCUGGCGGUAGGCCUAACACAUGCAAGUCGAACGGCAGCACAGUAAGAGCUUGCUCUUACGGGUGGCGAGUGGCGGACGGGUGAGGAAUACAUCGGAAUCUACUUUUUCGUGGGGGAUAACGUAGGGAAACUUACGCUAAUACCGCAUACGACCUACGGGUGAAAGCAGGGGAUCUUCGGACCUUGCGCGAUUGAAUGAGCCGAUGUCGGAUUAGCUAGUUGGCGGGGUAAAGGCCCACCAAGGCGACGAUCCGUAGCUGGUCUGAGAGGAUGGUCGGCCACACUGGAACUGGGACACGGUCCAGACUCCUAGGGAAGGCAGAGGUGGGGAAUAUUGGACAAUGGGCGCAAGCCUGAUCCAGCCAUACCGCGUGGGUGAAGAAGGCCUUCGGGUUGUAAAGCCCUUUUGUUGGGAAAGAAAAGCAGCAGGUUAAUACCCCGCUGUUCGGACGGUACCCAAAGAAUAAGCACCGCUAACUUCGUG